GAACUAGAAAUUCAAGAAAAAGCUUCUAACUUUACUCUUAAGCGAUGAAAUUUCGUUUAUAGUUCU
RNAcentral lists this transfer RNA (66 nucleotides) under Pissodes strobi. RNAcentral describes it as "tRNA-Ser". The record is from RNAcentral. Lineage: Eukaryota; Metazoa; Arthropoda; Insecta; Coleoptera; Curculionidae.